UGGGGAAUCUUGGACAAUGGGCGCAAGCCUGAUCCAGCCAUGCCGCGUGAGUGAAGAAGGCCCUAGGGUUGUAAAGCUCUUUCGGCGGGGAAGAUGAUGACGGUACCCGCAGAAGAAGCCCCGGCUAACUCCGUGCCAGCAGCCGCGGUAAUACGGAGGGGGCUAGCGUUGUUCGGAAUUACUGGGCGCAAAGGGCGCGUAGGCGGACGAUCAAGUCAGGGGUGAAAGGCCCGGGCUCAACCUGGGAACGGCCUUUGAAACUGAUCGUCUUGAGUCCGGGAGAGGAGAGCGGAAUUCCCAGUGUAGAGGUGAAAUUCGUAGAUAUUGGGAAGAACACCGGUGGCGAAGGCGGCUCUCUGGACCGGCACUGACGCUGAGGCGCGAAAGCGUGGGGAGCAAACA
Molecule: ribosomal RNA, 402 nt
Filed under: uncultured bacterium
Lineage: Bacteria
Description: bacterial SSU rRNA
Rfam family: Bacterial small subunit ribosomal RNA
Source: RNAcentral